Molecule: ribosomal RNA, 119 nt
Filed under: Balaenoptera musculus (blue whale)
Lineage: Eukaryota; Metazoa; Chordata; Mammalia; Artiodactyla; Balaenopteridae
Source: RNAcentral
UUCCACCGCCAUACCACCCUGAACGCGCCCCAUCUCGUCUGAUCCUGGAAGCUAAGCAGGCUCGGGCCUGCUUAGUACUUGGAUGGGAGACCACAUGGGAAUACCGGGUGCUGUAGGCU